This 2369-nucleotide ribosomal RNA is filed under the name Campylobacter jejuni. Its description in RNAcentral is "partial 23S ribosomal RNA". It matches the Rfam family "Bacterial large subunit ribosomal RNA", at positions 706 to 2925 of the family's 2925-position model. Lineage: Bacteria; Pseudomonadati; Campylobacterota; Epsilonproteobacteria; Campylobacterales; Campylobacteraceae. The record is from RNAcentral.
GCUGCAGACCCGAAACGAAGUGAUCUAUCCAUGAGCAAGUUGAAGCUAGUGUAAGAACUAGUGGAGGACUGAACCCAUAGGCGUUGAAAAGCCCCGGGAUGACUUGUGGAUAGGGGUGAAAGGCCAAUCAAACUUCGUGAUAGCUGGUUCUCUCCGAAAUAUAUUUAGGUAUAGCGUUGUGUCGUAAUAUAAGGGGGUAGAGCACUGAAUGGGCUAGGGCAUACACCAAUGUACCAAACCCUAUCAAACUCCGAAUACCUUAUAUGUAAUCACAGCAGUCAGGCGGCGAGUGAUAAAAUCCGUCGUCAAGAGGGAAACAACCCAGACUACCAGCUAAGGUCCCUAAAUCUUACUUAAGUGGAAAACGAUGUGAAGUUACUUAAACAACCAGGAGGUUGGCUUAGAAGCAGCCAUCCUUUAAAGAAAGCGUAAUAGCUCACUGGUCUAGUGAUUUUGCGCGGAAAAUAUAACGGGGCUAAAGUAAGUACCGAAGCUGUAGACUUGCGCACAACUUAGAUUAUUUAAGUUUAGAAUAUGAGAAACUAAGUUAUAUUUUUACUGAUUUUUAUAGAGUAAAGAUAGAAAUAAAACUUAGUAAAAUCAGUAAAAAUAUUCUUAGGCUAAAGUUAAGUAGUUUAAGUUGUGUGCAAGUGGUAGGAGAGCGUUCUAUUUGCGUCGAAGGUAUACCGGUAAGGAGUGCUGGAGCGAAUAGAAGUGAGCAUGCAGGCAUGAGUAGCGAUAAUUAAUGUGAGAAUCAUUAACGCCGUAAACCCAAGGUUUCCUACGCGAUGCUCGUCAUCGUAGGGUUAGUCGGGUCCUAAGUCGAGUCCGAAAGGGGUAGACGAUGGCAAAUUGGUUAAUAUUCCAAUACCAACAUUAGUGUGCGAUGGAAGGACGCUUAGGGCUAAGGGGGCUAGCGGAUGGAAGUGCUAGUCUAAGGUCGUAGGAGGUUAUACAGGCAAAUCCGUAUAACAAUACUCCGAGAACUGAAAGGCUUUUUGAAGUCUUCGGAUGGAUAGAAGAACCCCUGAUGCCGUCGAGCCAAGAAAAGUUUCUAAGUUUAGCUAAUGUUGCCCGUACCGUAAACCGACACAGGUGGGUGGGAUGAGUAUUCUAAGGCGCGUGGAAGAACUCUCUUUAAGGAACUCUGCAAAAUAGCACCGUAUCUUCGGUAUAAGGUGUGGUUAGCUUCGUACUAGGAUUUACUCCGAAAGCGAAGAAACUUACAACAAAGAGUCCCUCCCGACUGUUUACCAAAAACACAGCACUCUGCUAACUCGUAAGAGGAUGUAUAGGGUGUGACGCCUGCCCGGUGCUCGAAGGUUAAUUGAUGGGGUUAGCAUUAGCGAAGCUCUUGAUCGAAGCCCGAGUAAACGGCGGCCGUAACUAUAACGGUCCUAAGGUAGCGAAAUUCCUUGUCGGUUAAAUACCGACCUGCAUGAAUGGCGUAACGAGAUGGGAGCUGUCUCAAAGAGGGAUCCAGUGAAAUUGUAGUGGAGGUGAAAAUUCCUCCUACCCGCGGCAAGACGGAAAGACCCCGUGGACCUUUACUACAGCUUGACACUGCUAUUUGGAUAAGAAUGUGCAGGAUAGGUGGGAGGCUUUGAGUAUAUGACGCCAGUUGUAUAGGAGCCAUUGUUGAGAUACCACUCUUUCUUAUUUGGGUAGCUAACCAGCUUGAGUUAUCCUCAAGUGGGACAAUGUCUGGUGGGUAGUUUGACUGGGGCGGUCGCCUCCCAAAUAAUAACGGAGGCUUACAAAGGUUGGCUCAGAACGGUUGGAAAUCGUUCAUAGAGUAUAAAGGUAUAAGCCAGCUUAACUGCAAGACAUACAAGUCAAGCAGAGACGAAAGUCGGUCUUAGUGAUCCGGUGGUUCUGUGUGGAAGGGCCAUCGCUCAAAGGAUAAAAGGUACCCCGGGGAUAACAGGCUGAUCUCCCCCAAGAGCUCACAUCGACGGGGAGGUUUGGCACCUCGAUGUCGGCUCAUCGCAUCCUGGGGCUGGAGCAGGUCCCAAGGGUAUGGCUGUUCGCCAUUUAAAGCGGUACGCGAGCUGGGUUCAGAACGUCGUGAGACAGUUCGGUCCCUAUCUGCCGUGGGCGUAAGAAGAUUGAAGAGAUUUGACCCUAGUACGAGAGGACCGGGUUGAACAAACCACUGGUGUAGCUGUUGUUCUGCCAAGAGCAUCGCAGCGUAGCUAAGUUUGGAAAGGAUAAACGCUGAAAGCAUCUAAGCGUGAAGCCAACUCUAAGAUGAAUCUUCUCUAAGCUCUCUAGAAGACUACUAGUUUGAUAGGCUGGGUGUGUAAUGGAUGAAAGUCCUUUAGCUGACCAGUACUAAUAGAGCGUUUGGCUUAUCUUUAAUAAAGCAU